AUAUGGACUAUGGAGUGGGGGUGAGGCGGAAAGAGAUGGCGCUCCAGAGUGGCACGCUCUUGCCGUUGCUAUUUCCGAAGCACAGUUCAGGCGCCAUGGCACAUGCACAAGAAAUUCGGGUCUGUACCAACCGCACUUGCCGCAAACAGGGAUCUUUUCAGACCCUCGAAACCCUCUCUGCCCUCGCUCCUCCCAACCUCGCCGUCAACUCCUGCGGCUGCUUGGGCCGCUGCGGCGCCGGCCCUAACUUGGCAAUCCUCCCCGACGGCUUCAUCGUCGCCCAUUGCGGCACACCGGCUCAGGCGGCUCAGCUCGUGGCCACCUUGUUUUCCAGAGAUGAUGCCGAUGCCACGAGCAGUUUGGAGGCCCUGGCUUUGAGGAAGAGAGCCGAGAUUGAGUUCCAGAAUCGAAAUUUGAGUGAAGCUGAGUUGCUUCUCUCACAGGCUAUAGAUUCAGAACCCUUUGGUGGCAUGCAUGUCCUCUUUAAAUGCAGGUCAGUUGUAAGGUUGGAAUUGGGCAACUACCGUGGGGCCCUUCAAGAUGCUAGGGAGGCUUUGAACUUAGCUCCUCGCUAUUCUGAGGCUUAUAUUUGCCAAGGUGAUGCCUUCUUGGCAUUGAAUGAAUUCGAAUCAGCAGAACAAUCAUAUUUAGCUUCUUUAGACAUAGAUCCUUUGAUCCGUCGCUCUAAAUCAUUCAAGGCCCGAAUAUUAAAGCUUCAGGAAAAGGUUGCUGCUGUUAAUACGUCAUAAGAUUUGUGUUGUGAAUAAAGAUCCAGUCAAUUCUGAUAUUGUGAUCAUGUACAUUCGAUUAUUUUAUAUACUUUCUCCAGGACCAAGUUUGCGUUUGAGGACAUAAUCACAAAAUGGAAGUAUAUAUAUAGUAAGUUAUAAGAGCACCUCCUGUGGAUAUGCCUGUGAAGGAGUAGGAGCAGCAACAGCAUAUGCCAGCACAAUUCCAAUUUUCCUAUUAAAGGUUCUGUUUUGUUCUUUAAUGGUCCUGAUUCUCUCACCAUCAGUUCCUUUCAAUAACCAAGGAGUGGUCUAUAUCAAGGUUUCUCUCUAUUCUUGUAAAAAAGAUGCAUUUCUUUAGAGGAAUUGGUCAUAAUCUCGUUCCAUUGUAUACAU
RNA transcript from Arachis duranensis, 1124 nucleotides. RefSeq lists it as uncharacterized. The record is from RefSeq and is a predicted model, not a curated record. Lineage: Eukaryota; Viridiplantae; Streptophyta; Magnoliopsida; Fabales; Fabaceae. The transcript has 5 exons.